UCAAGUCGAACGAACCUUCGGGUGAGUGGCGCACGGGUGCGUAACACGUGGGAAUAUACCUCUUGGUAAGGAACAACAUCUGGAAACGGGUGCUAUUACCUUAUAAUGGCUCCGGCCCAAAGAUUUAUCGCCAAGAGAUUUGCCCGCGCUUGAUUAGAUAGUUGGUGAGGGAAAAGCUCACCAAGUCGACGAGCAAUAGGGGGUCUGAGAGGACGAGC
RNAcentral lists this ribosomal RNA (218 nucleotides) under uncultured bacterium. RNAcentral's name for it is "partial 16S ribosomal RNA". It matches the Rfam family "Bacterial small subunit ribosomal RNA", at positions 58 to 305 of the family's 1533-position model. The record is from RNAcentral.